AACCGGUGCAAGCACAAUAGAUGUGCGGGAGGAAAAACCCCCGCAUAAGUCGAAGGUGUGACGCGGACCGAAAAAGAGUAGGGAAGCUGUUAAGCAAGCCGUCAAGAAAAGCUGCUAUUGUUUCAUUAUGGCCCGUACCGUAAACCGACACAGGUGGAUGGGGAGAGAAUCCUAAGGCCGGCGGAAGAAGUAUUGUUAAGGAACUCGGCAAAAUGACCCCGUAACUUCGGGAGAAGGGGUGCCUGCGAGAGCAGGCCGCAGAGAAGAGGCCCAAGCAACUGUUUAGCAAAAACACAGGUCUAUGCAAAACCGAAAGGUGAGGUAUAUGGGCUGACGCCUGCCCGGUGCUGGAAGGUUAAGGGGAGUGGUCAGGAAACGAAGCCACGAACUUAAGCCCCAGUAAACGGCGGCCGUAACUAUAACGGUCCUAAGGUAGCGAAAUUCCUUGUCGGGUAAGUUCCGACCCGCACGAAAGGCGUAAUGUUUUGGGCGCUGUCUCGACAAUACAUCCGGUGAAAUUGAAGUGCCAGUGAAGAUGCUGGCUACCUGCGCCAGGACGGAAAGACCCCAUGGAGCUUUACUCCAGCUUGAUACUGGGACCCGGUAUUGCAUGUACAGGAUAGGUGGGAGGCUAGGAAAUGUGGACGCCAGUCUGCAUGGAGCCGCUGUUGGGAUACCACCCUUGUGGUGCUGGGUUUCUAACCAGAGGCCGUGAACCGGUCUGGGGACAAUGUCAGGUGGGAAGUUUGACUGGGGCGGUCGCCUCCGAAAGGGUAUCGGAGGCGCCCAAAGGUUCCCUCAGAAUGGUUGGAAACCAUUCGAAGAGUGCAAAGGCAGAAGGGAGCUUGACUGCGACACCGACGGGUGGAGCAGGUACGAAAGUAGGGCUUAGUGAUCCGGUGGAAUUUAAGUGGGAAUGCCAUCGCUCAACGGAUAAAAGCUACCCUGGGAUAACAGGCUGAUCACUCCCAAGAGUUCACAUCGACGGAGUGGUUUGGCACCUCGAUGUCGGCUCAUCGCAUCCUGGGGCUGAAGUCGGUCCCAAGGGUUGGGCUGUUCGCCCAUUAAAGCGGUACGCGAGCUGGGUUCAGAACGUCGUGAGACAGUUCGGUCCCUAUCCGGCGUGGGCGUAGGAUAUCUGAGAGGGGCUGUCCUUAGUACGAGAGGACCGGGAUGGACUGACCUCUGGUGUACCGGUUGGCGAUCAACGCCACGGCCGGGUAGCCAUGUCGGGACGGGAUAAACGCUGAGGGCAUCUAAGCGUGAAGCCCCCCUCAAGAUGAGAUAUCCCAUCGUAAGAGUAAGACCCCUUGAAGACGACGAGGUUGAUAGGGCAGGGGUGGAAGUGCCGUAAGGCAUGGAGCUGACUGCUACUAAUCGGUCGAGGGCUUGACCA
This 1396-nucleotide ribosomal RNA is filed under the name metagenome. RNAcentral's name for it is "bacterial LSU rRNA". It matches the Rfam family "Bacterial large subunit ribosomal RNA", at positions 1505 to 2925 of the family's 2925-position model. The record is from RNAcentral.